UAAGUUGUUGUGGUUAAAAGCUCGUAGUUGAACCUUGGGCCUGGCUGGCCGGUCCGCCUCACCGCGUGUACUGGUCCGGCCGGGCCUUUCCCUCUGUGGAACCCCAUGCCCUUCACUGGGUGUGGCGGGGAAACAGGACUUUUACUUUGAAAAAAUUAGAGUGCUCCAGGCAGGCCUAUGCUCGAAUACAUUAGCAUGGAAUAAUAGAAUAGGACGUGUGGUUCUAUUUUGUUGGUUUCUAGGACCGCCGUAAUGAUUAAUAGGGACAGUCGGGGGCAUCAGUAUUCAAUUGUCAGAGGUGAAAUUCUUGGAUUUAUUGAAGACUAACUACUGCGAAAGCAUUUGCCAAGGAUGUUUUCAUUAAUCAGGAACGAAAGUUAGGGGAUCGAGGACGACCAGAUACCGUCGUAGUCUUAACCAUAAACUAUGCCGACUAGGGAUCGGACGGUGUUAUUUUUUGACCCGUUCGGCA
RNAcentral lists this ribosomal RNA (472 nucleotides) under uncultured Pseudonectria. RNAcentral describes it as "SSU rRNA". It matches the Rfam family "Eukaryotic small subunit ribosomal RNA", at positions 607 to 1085 of the family's 1831-position model. Lineage: Eukaryota; Fungi; Ascomycota; Sordariomycetes; Hypocreales; Nectriaceae. The record is from RNAcentral.